GGGUUGUAGGACACUCUAUACGGAGUUACAAAAGAACAUGUUAGACGAAUCAUCUGGAAAGAUGAAUCAAAGAAGGUAAUAAUCCUGUAGUCGAAAACAUAUUCUCUCUUGAGUGGAUCCUGAGUACGACGGAGCACGUGAAAUUCCGUCGGAAUCUAGGAGGACCAUCUCCUAAGGCUAAAUACUCUCUAGUGACCGAUAGUGAACCAGUACCGUGAGGGAAAGGUGAAAAGUACCCCGGAAGGGGAGUGAAAGAGAACUUGAAACCGUGUGCUUACAAGUAGUCAGAGCCCGUUUAUGGGUGAUGGCGUGCCUUUUGUAGAAUGAACCGGCGAGUUACGAUCUGAUGCAAGGUUAAGCAGCGAAUGUGGAGCCGUAGCGAAAGCGAGUCUGAAUAGGGCGUUGAGUAUUUGGUCGUAGACCCGAAACCAGGUGAUCUACCCUUGGUCAGGUUGAAGUUCAGGUAACACUGAAUGGAGGACCGAACCGACUUACGUUGAAAAGUGAGCGGAUGAACUGAGGGUAGCGGAGAAAUUCCAAUCGAACUUGGAGAUAGCUGGUUCUCUCCGAAAUAGCUUUAGGGCUAGCCUCAAGUGAUGAUUAUUGGAGGUAGAGCACUGUUUGGACGAGGGGCCCCUCUCGGGUUACCGAAUUCAGACAAACUCCGAAUGCCAAUCAAUUUAACUUGGGAGUCAGAACAUGGGUGAUAAGGUCCGUGUUCGAAAGGGAAACAGCCCAGACCACCAGCUAAGGUCCCAAAAUAUAUGUUAAGUGGAAAAGGAUGUGGCGUUGCCCAGACAACUAGGAUGUUGGCUUAGAAGCAGCCAUCAUUUAAAGAGUGCGUAAUAGCUCACUAGUCGAGUGACACUGCGCCGAAAAUGUACCGGGGCUAAACAUAUUACCGAAGCUGUGGAUUGUCCUUUGGACAAUGGUAGGAGAGCGUUCUAAGGGCGUCGAAGCAUGAUCGCAAGGACAUGUGGAGCGCUUAGAAGUGAGAAUGCCGGUGUGAGUAGCGAAAGACGGGUGAGAAUCCCGUCCACCGAUUGACUAAGGUUUCCAGAGGAAGGCUCGUCCGCUCUGGGUUAGUCGGGUCCUAAGCUGAGGCCGACAGGCGUAGGCGAUGGAUAACAGGUUGAUAUUCCUGUACCACCUAGUAUCGUUUUAAUCGAUGGGGGGACGCAGUAGGAUAGGCGAAGCGUGCUGUUGGAGUGCACGUCCAAGCAGUAAGGCUGAGUGUUAGGCAAAUCCGGCACUCAUAAGGC
Molecule: ribosomal RNA, 1262 nt
Filed under: Listeria monocytogenes
Lineage: Bacteria; Bacillati; Bacillota; Bacilli; Caryophanales; Listeriaceae
Description: bacterial LSU rRNA
Rfam family: Bacterial large subunit ribosomal RNA
Source: RNAcentral